Molecule: long non-coding RNA, 1585 nt
Filed under: Brassica napus (rape)
Lineage: Eukaryota; Viridiplantae; Streptophyta; Magnoliopsida; Brassicales; Brassicaceae
Description: long non-coding RNA (BNAP_LNC013107)
Source: RNAcentral
UUCUUCGUUUGAUCCCUUUCUAAACAGUAAUAUCUCCCAAAUCAUUUUUUUUUUCAUUUAAUCAAAAAUUAUAAUUUUUCUACAGAGACCAAAUCUAGAUAAUUUACCGUCGGCCAUUCCACAGAUUAGUGAGAUUGUCACCACGCCGGAGCCUGUUGUGGUCACUGAUUUUGACAUCAAAUCAGAGUCUGGCUGAAAUGAAUCUCAAGAAGAAGGAGAGGAGAUCGAUGGACCACCCUCCCGCCGAAAAUAGUUCGAUAUUGUGUAAGCCCCACACACGCUAGAGAGCUGGAUGAAAAAUGCAAGGUAAGUGGUAGCUGUUACCAAAAGAGUUGUUGAUAUUUGGAGACCAAUUUGGUUCGCGUUAUCCAAGCGUAUUAGGUGUUACUCAUGCGUAGUAAUUGUUACCACAAGAGUUAGUUGCUUUUGUUGCUCUUGUGAUUGUACGUAUAGGCAGUUGUUUAGCUAUAGUAACCUUUGCAAAUUUUCUGUUACUCCGAGUUAGUAGUGAACUAGUGCAUUGUUGGUCGUUACAAUGCGUGUUAGUUGUUACCAAAAGAGUUAUUGAUAUUAGAGACCCUUUUGGUUCUCAAGUUACCCAAGCAUAGUAGGUGUUACUCAUGCGUGUUAACUGUUACCACAAGAAUUAGUUGCUUUUGUUUCUCUUAUAGUUGUACGUAUAGGCAACUGUUGAGCUAGCCACCUUUGCAAAGUUUUUGUUACUCCGAGUUAGCGGCCAACUAGUGGGUUAUUAGUCGUUCCAAUGCAUAUUAAUUGUUACCAAAAGAGUUGUUGAUACUGGAGACCCUUUUGGUUUUGACGUUAUCCAAACGUAAUAGGUGUUACCCCUGCGUAUUAACUGGUACCAUAAGAGUUAGUUGUGCUGUUGUCCAUGUGGUUGUACAUAUAGGCAGCUGUUUAGAUACAGUCACCUUUGCAGAGUUUCUGUUACUCCAAGUUAGUAGCUAACUAGUGGAUUGUUGGUCGUUACAGUGCGUGUUAAUUGUUACCAUCUUUUUUUAUAUCUAACUAACCAGGAAAAAGCCAUAUGUAUAUUAUCUAAUGUUUUGUGACUACACUAAAGGCUGAGAUGAUUUCAAUGGUAGUGGAUGCAACACAUUCUCAGAAGUGCUGACGUGAGAAGACAAGGUUGAUGAGGAACAUGUUGGCAACCUUGUACGACUAAUCGAGCAAGGUCAUGUGUUCAACAAGUCUAUGUACGCUACACUUAGAUUUGCUCCGAAUUUUUCUUUGAUUUUCCAGUGUACCUUACACAAUAACCUAACAAAACGAGUGCAUAGGGGAGAUAAUAGUUGCACAGCUAUUUUAGAACAGUAACCUAGGAUUGUACUUGCGAAGAUCCACCGAAUCAAAAAGUGUUCACUUUUCUCCUUACGUUUCUAGACUGUAGGGGUAAAAGGGGAAUAUGGGACACAAUUAGCUACAGUCCGAUGGAUUCUUUUUGCUUUUGGAUACUUUCUUAAUUUUGCACAUAUUUGGGUAUAUUGAUCCAAUUGUUUUUUUUUUAUUUAAUUAAAAAUAUGUAUUAUAGAGAAACGGAAGCAAAAAAGGGAUUACAAAGAGA